CGGGGUGUAGCGCAGCCUGGUAGCGCGCUUCGUUCGGAAUGAAGAGGUCGGAGGUUCGAACCCUCUCACCCCGACCA
Molecule: transfer RNA, 77 nt
Filed under: Alphaproteobacteria bacterium CG_4_10_14_0_8_um_filter_53_9
Lineage: Bacteria; Pseudomonadati; Pseudomonadota; Alphaproteobacteria
Description: tRNA-Pro
Rfam family: tRNA
About the family: Transfer RNA (tRNA) molecules are approximately 80 nucleotides in length.
Source: RNAcentral